UACGUAGGUGACAAGCGUUGUCCGGAUUUACUGGGCGUAAAGAGCGCGCAGGCGGUCGUUCAAGUCGAGUGUGAAAGCCCCCGGCUCAACUGGGGAGGGUCAUUCGAUACUGAUCGACUCGAAGGCGGGAGAGGGUAGUGGAAUUCCCGGUGUAGUGGUGAAAUGCGUAGAUAUUCGCAAGAACACCAGUGGCGAAGGCGGCUCACUGGCCCGGUACUGACGCUGAGGUGCGAAAGCGUGGGGAGCAAACAGG
RNAcentral lists this ribosomal RNA (253 nucleotides) under uncultured bacterium. RNAcentral's name for it is "partial 16S ribosomal RNA". It matches the Rfam family "Bacterial small subunit ribosomal RNA", at positions 524 to 776 of the family's 1533-position model. The record is from RNAcentral.